RNAcentral lists this long non-coding RNA (621 nucleotides) under Gopherus agassizii (Agassiz's desert tortoise). Its description in RNAcentral is "lncRNA (ENSGAGG00000021559.1)". The record is from RNAcentral. Lineage: Eukaryota; Metazoa; Chordata; Testudines; Testudinidae.
CUUUGCCAGCAUCUCUAGGAUAACAGCUUUUAUCAGCGAUGAGCAGCGUGCCCACAGCUGUGUGCAAGGGCUCAGCUGCCAGCCGCUGAUAAGAGCAGCGCUGAAUGCUGUGUCUGCCCCCAUCACCCCCUGCAAGCUGUUAUGUGACUCCAGCCCCUCUGAGGGUUGGGGGGCUUCAGGACCCAUGUAGCACCCUCUUCCCCUCUGCAAAGGCCAGGGCGAAACAUGACCACUAAUGAAUGGGGCACAGCGGUACCAGGCCACAGGACUUGAAGAAGCUAAUUUGGAACUGCAAGAGGAAGUUAAGGAGGUGAAAUGUGCAGCCUUAACUGCCUUGGGACCUGCCUUUCUCCCUGUAUCAUAAGCGACCUGUUGAAUCAAAAGGGAAGGGGGCUUGCUGGAGCCUCUCUGAGGUGCGGAUACUCCACCACCCAAGCUUGGAGUCUUGACUUUCCAGAUGACACCUCAGCAGCUGGGAGAGACGCAGCCCUGGGGGGACUGAGGACAGGUACUGUGGGACGAGGGGUCCGAUGGGUCGGCGGGCCAACUGGUAGCACUCUCCUCCGACAUCUCGAAGCCACACUCGUGACUUUGGAAGCCAAUGGGGUCGUUUUUGAUUGA